RNAcentral lists this ribosomal RNA (183 nucleotides) under uncultured fungus. Its description in RNAcentral is "partial 28S ribosomal RNA". Lineage: Eukaryota; Fungi. The record is from RNAcentral.
CAGUUCAGGCCAGCAUCAGUUUGCCUCGGGGGAUAAAAGUAGCGGGAAUGUGGCUCCUCCGGGAGUGUUAUACCCCGCUGCAUAAUACCCUGUGGCACACUGAGGACCGCGCUUCGUGCAAGGAUGCUGGCGUAAUGGUCAUCAGCGACCCGUCUUGAAACACGGACCAAGGAGUCAGAGUCA